UACGUAGGGUGCAAGCGUUAAUCGGAAUUACUGGGCGUAAAGCGUGCGCAGGCGGUUAUAUAAGACAGUUGUGAAAUCCCCGGGCUCAACCUGGGAACUGCAUCUGUGACUGUAUAGCUAGAGUACGGUAGAGGGGGAUGGAAUUCCGCGUGUAGCAGCGAAAUGCGUAGAUAUGCGGAGGAACACCGAUGGCGAAGGCAAUCCCCUGGACCUGUACUGACGCUCAUGCACGAAAGCGUGGGGAGCAAACAGG
RNAcentral lists this ribosomal RNA (253 nucleotides) under uncultured bacterium. RNAcentral's name for it is "partial 16S ribosomal RNA". It matches the Rfam family "Bacterial small subunit ribosomal RNA", at positions 524 to 776 of the family's 1533-position model. The record is from RNAcentral.